This is a long non-coding RNA of Glossina fuscipes, 1508 nucleotides long. RefSeq lists it as uncharacterized. The transcript has 3 exons. Lineage: Eukaryota; Metazoa; Arthropoda; Insecta; Diptera; Glossinidae. The record is from RefSeq and is a predicted model, not a curated record.
UUAGACAGUACAGUAUAAAUUCGGCUGCUCAAUAAGUAACAAAUAACAUAGUCACUGCAACGUAGCUUUGGAAACAACAUUAAAUACGCAAGCGGCCCUGCUGAAAUGUUAAGUCGAAAUAAUUAAAUAAAAAUAAUGUGAAAAAAGUGAAAAAUAGGAAUACGAAAAUAAAAACGCCAACAACCAUGAAAAUAAUAUUGCUAUCAUACCUGUAUAUAAGAAGGAGAAAUUACUAAAUCACAUUUAAGCUUCGGCGAGUUUAACGACUAGCAGAAAAACAAAAGAAAAAGCAAAAUAAUAACAAUAGUAGCAUUAAGCAGUAAAAAUAAAAAGCAGUUAGUGUAAAAUAUAUGGAACAGUCGUAAUAAUUCCAAAGCCAUUAAACCAUUAAGCCAAUAAUUUUGUGCAAGCAAGUAUAGGGCUUACCGAAGUUGCCCUGUGUAAUUUUUUCGGUAAAAUUCUAUAGUAUACAUAUUAGGUUGAAAGGUGAAUAAAUAAUAUUCACUUUGAAUAGUGAAUAGAUUUUAAACCGGUUUUAUGAACUGUUUAUUUGACAUCUUCAGCAAACUGUACAAUUUUCACAGAAUCUAUGUAAGUUUACGAAAUAAUAAGCAGUCAUGCUAUGGUCGCCUUGCGGCGAAUGAUCGAUGCCCGCCAUUAGCACCGAUACCAGCCUACAUAAAGAACCCACAAUUACUUUUUUAAGCGCGGAUCAGCUAACCAUCAACGUUUUUGUAUUGACCUUUUGCGUUGGCAUUUUACAUACAUACAGCAAUAUUUUAGAAACCAGUAUCCGUGAUUGUUUUGCAGUUUCUCGUAACCUUGCUUACUGGAUUGUCAUGAUAAUUCCCGAACUGCAUGCUUGCAUUUGAAUUGGAAACGUUUAGAUCGAUUUUCUCAAUCAAAAAACUGACGGACGAACAUCAUUUAACGUAUAUAUAAUAAUAAUAUAUAGAAUAGAAUUAAAAGAUGUCUUCCUUCAGAGUAUGCUCGAGUUUAGUUAACCGUCCCCUCUGCUCUACUGUAGUUUUGGCAAGUUAUCCUUCGUAAACUAUGUAUACUUUGACAGCAUUGCAGAAAUUAACUGAUAUUUAGGAAUGGACAAAAUUCUUGAGACAAUUGGAGCCGGUAAUACGAUUCCGCUCAUCAACAACGAGUAUCAUCCUUCUGCUUCAUUUCAGUUCCCACAGAACACUAUUUUAGGCCAGAUAAGCCUGCAGCAACACAAAUUUUAGUAGAUUUCAGAGAAGUGGCCAUUCUACUAAAAAAAUCUUAAUGCAAGGCGAACGAUUAUAUAUUUAAAGACGCAAAUAAAUCAAUUAAGCUGAAAAAUAAACGAUACGUAUAAAAUUUGUAAAUUUUCUGCUCUCUUGCCUCGCACUUUUCCGAAAUAAGUAAGCAAUCGUUGUGCAAUGUUAAGCGAACAAGCGACGGCGUCGCAGAAUGCAUUGCAAGUGAAACUUAUAAAAAUAUUUUUUAAGACUUAAAAAACAUUAAUUUUUAAUUUG